This 253-nucleotide ribosomal RNA is filed under the name uncultured prokaryote. RNAcentral describes it as "partial 16S ribosomal RNA". It matches the Rfam family "Bacterial small subunit ribosomal RNA", at positions 525 to 777 of the family's 1533-position model. The record is from RNAcentral.
ACGGAGGAUGCAAGUGUUAUCCGGAAUCACUGGGCGUAAAGCGUCUGUAGGUGGUUUAAUAAGUCAACUGUUAAAUCUUGAGGCUCAACCUCAAAAUCGCAGUCGAAACUAUUAGGCUAGAGUAUAGUAGGGGUAAAGGGAAUUUCCAGUGGAGCGGUGAAAUGCGUAGAGAUUGGAAAGAACACCGAUGGCGAAGGCACUUUACUGGGCUAUUACUAACACUCAGAGACGAAAGCUAGGGUAGCAAAUGGGA